AAGAUUGUUAUCAAUAUUCCAAAGACAGUAACGGCGCAAGCUUAAUCAAGUUACCGAGGGGUUAUACAUUCCUAAGCUUUUUAUGUAUGCCUGCUCAUGCAGGCUUUUCUUUUGAAUAU
Regulatory RNA element from Erysipelotrichaceae bacterium, 119 nucleotides. It matches the Rfam family "Ribosomal protein L10 leader". Rfam says of the family: This family is a putative r-protein leader autoregulatory structure found in B. subtilis and other low-GC Gram-positive bacteria. It is located in the 5' untranslated regions of mRNAs encoding ribosomal proteins L10 and L12 (rplJ-rplL). A Rho-independent transcription terminator structure that is probably involved in regulation is included at the 3' end. Lineage: Bacteria; Bacillati; Bacillota; Erysipelotrichia; Erysipelotrichales; Erysipelotrichaceae. The record is from Rfam.